AAAAAUCAAUAUUGCAGAACCUGUUUAAUCAUAAGCUGCAUCUGAUGAUACUUAAAAGUACAAGGCACGUACAAAUAUUUUACUGGUUAGGAAAACUUUUUCAAGAAAGAUGUGUCAAGGGUUGAUUAUAGAAAGUGAUUGUUUUCAGAAACCGGCUCCACCCUUUAUUCCUGAUCCUCUGUUCUGUUUCUGGUAGGUCAGUUUAAUGAAAGCCUAGACUAAAACACCCAUUUAAUCUAAGCAAAAGUUUAUUAUCUAAAUACAGUUUUUAUUAGAACAGAUUCGAGAAUACAUUUUCUCAUUUUUUGUUCUUUUUCUCAAAUAUUAAUGGAUAUAUUCUGGCUAAGGGCUCACUCAGCACUGAUCUGAGUAUUGGAAGCAUGUGGAAUGUAGAAAUCAUGUAUGGACAUGUUGAUGCAGUAGGGAAUUUCAUUUCCCAUUGGUGUCACAAUAGCUUCAACUUGCCAUAAAAGCACAGUUUAGGCAUGAAGGGUAGCAUGAACUUUCAAAACAUCAAGUAAAUGUGUAAGGUACUCAGACCUUCAUACUUCCAGAAAAAAAAGAUAUCCACUAUCAGAAAAAUUAGGAAGAAAGUUUCACUUCGGGCAUUUUAAUCUAAUGCUGUCCACGCUAAGAUUUCAAAUACUUUUUUUUCCCCCAGAACCUAGUUGGUGAAGACCACUGAAAAAGAUGAGAUGCUGUACUAGACAAGAGAAAGUUGGUUGCUGCUUUCAGGAACUGUGCCAAAAGGCUUUCUUUGCAUUCAAAGACGUCCCCCUCCACCCCCAAAUACUGAAGUUUACAGAUGCAGCUGCACCCCACUAGCCACCGUUACCUGCUUCUCAGUCUAUUUCUAAUCCCACCUUCUCUAGGGUCAGAUUUACGCAGUCUUGCCCAGGGACAAGUUUUCCAUGACACUGGAUUCAUCGCUCAGCUACAAUAUGGAUCUCUGGUUCAUAGGAAAUAAGACGCCUUGUGAGACAUUUGAACGCAGACCCUUAACUAGUUGCAGGGUCAGUCGUCAGAGAUGGGCAUUUGUCUAACCCUUUCCUAACGUGUGCUUAAGGCCUGGAUGAGGAGGAUGGCGCUGAGGCUGCGAACCAGGAGACCAGAACGCACCGACGGGUUUUAGACCACCCUGCGGGAGGAGGCGCUGGCCAUAGCCGCCGCAGGCAGACACGGGCCGGGUGCGGGCC
RNAcentral lists this long non-coding RNA (1196 nucleotides) under Struthio camelus australis. RNAcentral describes it as "lncRNA (ENSSCUG00000013200.1)". The record is from RNAcentral. Lineage: Eukaryota; Metazoa; Chordata; Aves; Struthioniformes; Struthionidae.